Neofelis nebulosa (Clouded leopard) is the source of this 4218-nucleotide long non-coding RNA. RefSeq lists it as uncharacterized. Lineage: Eukaryota; Metazoa; Chordata; Mammalia; Carnivora; Felidae. The transcript is spliced from 3 exons. The record is from RefSeq and is a predicted model, not a curated record.
CGCAGGAGCGCAUCCCUCAGUGAGCGGCGGCUGGUCGGCCCACGACCACGUGGACUGGGGCGCACGCCGGGCCACUCGGGGCCGCGCCGGGCGGUAGAGUGACGUUGCGGGGACCGCCCCCGCGCCCUGUGUGAGUCGUGACGCCCAGGCGUCGGCUCCAUCUACCCUAGACUGUGCCCGGCUGUGGGACGGGCGCCGCAGGGACUGCGCCUUUUCCGGACCCCCGCCCCCGCGCUCCGUCGCCGAGGUCCCCGAAGGCGGCGGCCCGAGCCUUGCGAGCACUUACACCGUCGUCUAGCGAGGCUCGGAGCGCGACAAGCAGCUGCAGGCGACCCCGCCCAGGCUAAGCCUUCGGGACCCGCACUGGUCACCCGCCUCUCAGGGUCCCGUUUGGCCCACUCGGUCCCCCGGUGGUGGCAGGGGCGGCAGCACGGAUGAAUCCGGCGCAGGGCUGUGUGACCUUUGAGGAUGUGUUCGUGUACUUCUCCCGGGAGGAGUGGGAACUCCUUGAGGAGGCUCAGAGACUCCUGUACCGUGAUGUGAUGCUGGAGAACUUUGCACUUGUGUCCUCACUGGGACUUGCAGUUUCCAGGACCCAUGUUGUUUCCCAAAUGCAGCCGGAGGGGAACGCAGGGUGCCUGAGAAGGUAGAUGCAGUGGCAGCUACAGCAGAGAAGACCUGAAGGAGGCCCGGCCCCGGUGAGUGGAAGCCACGGGAAUGGUCGCAUCAGGGCUGGCUUCGCCUCCUACCAGCAACCUGUGCUGUAUCUCCUAGCGUUCUGAUGCCACAACCAGCGGCUGACCUCAUCCCACGUUUUCUUCCCCGUUUGUGACACUUUGCCCACUUACCACUUUUACUCUGUCCUCAGUCACCUGUUGGUCCCCCGCCCUUCCCAUCUCCACACCUUUUCCCCUCGUGGUGCUCCAUGCAGUGCUUUGCGGCAUUGGCUCUUUUUAACAGGUCGUGAGUUGUGCUCAUAUCCUUCAAUUUUCCUUGAAAACAAAGUAUUCCAUUCCAACCAGAAUUUUCUGGCCCAGGACAGACCCUUUUGCACAGCACUCAACGUCACAAGGAACAAGGCCUUGCCGGACGACCACUGGCAGGGGAGUGGUUUGGAGCCCCUGCCUCUCCUUAUCCUAUACUCCAUCCAUCCUUGUCCCCUCUCCCUGUGUGGUCUCCUUCAUUCUCUGACCUUUAGAGACCCGCGGCACACAGCUGCCCUUCCUCAUCCUGAUUCUGGCUCCCCUAUCGUGCCAGCGGCCCCAUGGACUACUUCCUGGUUGCAUCAGACACACAUUUGUUAUGGGGUGCCACAGGCCACCAAUUAAACCUGCACUUCACCGGCAUUUAUCUUCCGUCAGGCUGUCGGCAUGCAGUGAAGGAUGAGGCUACACCUUCUGAUGCUCCCCAUCAGUGGGUGUCACAGAUGAGAACUCCCCAGGCAGGUCCUUCCCCCCGAAAGGCUCACCCCUGUGACACAUGUGGCCCAUUCUUGACAGACAUCUUUGCACCUGGCUGAGCCACGGGGAACACCAUCUGGGCAACAUGGCAACACCAGCGCAAGAGUCCCUGUAGGAGAGACUUCUGGGUAGUAUAAAUCUUGACCAGAUGCAGAAGCAGUGGAGUGGAGAAAACUUUUUUAGAAAGUAAGGAGCCUGGCCUGAUUUGUGAAGGUCAGCAGAUGCCAUGGGGCGAAGAAGGCCCUUACCUGCAGGGAGGGUGGGAGGAACUCUGUGGUCAGCUGUGGACUUGUCCAGCACCAGGCCCUUCACGGUGGGGAGAAACCACACUGGGCCCUGAGCGUGGGGGGCCUUUUGUGUAUCCGAUUUCCUUUAGGCAAGAAAGCACAACCUGAGACCGUAAAGCCUUCCGCUUGUGGGAGGCAGCCUCACUCCAGGCUUGGUUGACUCAGAGCUUCUCAUGGGGCUCAUGGUUGGGGUGAACCGGGAACAACGAGGGCCAGCGGAGGGGUACUUGAGCCACACAGAGAGUCUCCCGGGGAAGGUGAGCUCCAAGCACAGCUAAUCUGCCUUCGAGGCUUUCACGGGAGCAAGUCUCAGUGGGGCGCCUUCCGUGAACCACUCACACAGUCCACGUAAAGCAUCGGUGGUCUACGGGAAGAAUCUACGAGAGGAAGGUUCAACAGAUGGUGGCGUGUUUGGCAACAGCAGUUGUGCUGAAGGGAAGCCCGGGACUGCACUGAACGUGAGAAAGCCUUUCUCGAGAAGGCAGGCCUCAGUGAGCACGUGAGGGUUUACCUCAAGUGAAGCCAUGGGAGAGUUUCCAAGUGCAGUAGGGCUUUCGGCUGUGGGCCAGACCUCCUGUGGCACAGGCAGAUUCACGCUGGGAGAAGCCUUAUGAAUGCCAGGAACGGAGGAGAAUCAGGGACAGCUCCGCUUUGUCCAGAAUAGUUUUGCCCACCCAAGAGAAAGUGUCUUCAAGUACAAAGUGAGCGGGUAAGCCUCUUGUGACCGCUGUUCUCUUGCUGAUCGCGUGUUUUCCCAGGAGAGAAGCCCUGAAUGCAGUGCUGUGGAAAGGCCUCCAGUCACCGCUUUUAUUUCUGGCAUGAUAGAGUCCACACUGCAGGAGAACCCUUGGAGUGUGAAGAAGAUCAGAGAGUCUUCUGUGACCUCUUUUCCCGAAGUCAGCACAAGGAGUCACAGUGGGGAAAACCUUGUGAACACAGUGAAUGUGGACGCACGCUCAGCCUUCAUUCAUCGCUCCCCCCGCCCCCUAAGUAUUCGUAUUGGGGAGAAACCCUGUGAGCGUCAGACAUGUGGGAAAGCCUUUCGCAAAUGGACUUCCCUCAGUCAGCACCAGAGAACUCAUACUGAGGAGAAGCCUUUUGAAUGUAAGUCCUGAGGAAACUCUUUGCCAGAGGAAACCUCCUGCCAAGCAUCUGAAAAAUUAUACCAAAGAGAAACCCCGUAAGUGUCAUCGUUGUGAGAAGAUCUUCUGAAGCGGUUCAUCACUUACUGUUGUAUGAUCCACCCAGCUAGGACCAUACUCUAUGAAUAAGAACUUACAAAGGAGAGAAAACCAGCAGUUGCUGUGUAAUUACAAAGCCUUCAGCCCUAGCUUGGUUUCAGUAUGCCCUGAAGAGUGAUUCCAGAGUAUUUUAAAAAAGAGAGCAAAGGCAUAAGGGAAGAGGAAGAAAAGAGGUAGAUGUGACAGAAAAAGGAGUACAUGUGGUUUCUUUCAGGUUUCCCUGUCAAACCCAUGACAAUUUGUUAGCAGUUUUAGGGGGGGCAGGUGGGAGCAGUAUGGGCGAGGUGAAGGGGCCUCCCCCCGCCACCUGACUUAAUACACUCCCGGCCAUUCCGUGUCAGGAGAGCUGGACACUUGGUGCAGCUCUGCAAAUAUUUACUGAAAUCCUUUUUUGUUUAAAAAAAAAAAAAAACAACCCUACUUAAUCAUUAAGUGUCAUAAGUCUUUGUGAUAAAUGUGAAGUCUUGAUUUAUGAAGCACUUAAAAACUUAAAAAAAAUUAGAAUACUAAAAAUAUUGUUACCUAAAAUUAUCUCAUAUUUAAGGAGCAAAGAACAAAUAUAUGAAUGGGUACAUUUUGCUGCACCAUUUAAGACCAUUUAAGGUUAUUUUUUCAUUUAUUCUGUAUUGAGAUAUAAUUGACAGAUCACAUAAUUGGCAUAUAACAUGUAAGUUUAAGGUGUUCAACAUUGAUCUUGUUGAAUUUAUAUUGCGACGUGAUUGUCAUUGUAGCAUUAACCUCUGUAUCCUGGUGGUAUCCUGUAUCCUGUGUUCCUAGUGGUGGGAGCAGUUCACAUCUAGUCUCUUGCCAAGUUUAAUGUUUGUAAUACAGUUUUGUUCCUUGUAACCCCUGUACCGUGUGUUAAAUCUCCAGGAGUUACUUAGUAGCUGCAAUUAUGUGCCCUUAAACAACAUCUCCCUGUCCCCUGCCAAGCCUUUGGUAACCCAUCAUUCCACUCUCUUAUUUGAGGUCAGAGUUUUUUGUUUUUCUUUUAAGAAUCUUCGUAUAAAAAAUUCAGUAUUUGUCUUCCUGUGUUUGACUUAUCUCACCUAGCGUAAUGUCCCCAAGGCCCAUCUGUAUUGUCAGAAAUGGCAGCAUUUCCUUUUUUCUGAUGGCUGAAUAACAUUCCACUGUGAAUAUAUACCACAUCUUCAUCCUUUGAUGGACACUUAGGCUGUCACUACAUCUUGUCUCUCGUGUACAAUGUUAAUAAACAUGGGAGUACAGAUA